Gallus gallus (chicken) is the source of this 697-nucleotide long non-coding RNA. The record is from Ensembl. NCBI's taxonomy places the organism in Eukaryota, Metazoa, Chordata, Aves, Galliformes, Phasianidae.
AGCGGAGCCAGCCAGGAUUGCCCUUCGCAGGAGAUACUCAACUUUCAGCCUCUGGGCCCUGUGGAUGUUAGAAGAAUGACAGGAGACAGACACUGUCUGAGGAGAAACCCAACUGCUUUUCCAUAUUGCAGCAACUACUCAACUGCCUCCAGAACUGUCUUUCACCAUCCAGCUUCCAAUUUAUUGUCUGGCCUUGUCGACUUCAGUGUGAUUUGAGCAUGCAGUCGAACUUAGAAACAUCAUUUUAUAUAUUUUUUUUCCCAGACUAAAGGUGGAGGAUCAAGAAGGUAGAAAAAAAUUCCUUCCUUCAGUGUGGGGAUCAAAGUUCUGCCUGGUGGAAGGAGUUAAAAUUGUCCAGAAAAAUGCUGAGGUCCAUGUCGCUCCUGUGUUGAGGAAUCCAAAUCUGGAUGCAGUACUCCAGGUGAGGUUUCAGCAGCGCAGAGUAGAGGGGCAGGAUUACCUCCCUCACCCUGCUGGCCACUCUUCUUCUGAUGCAGCCCAGAAUAUGGUUGGCUUUCUGAGCUGUGAGGGUACAUUGCUGGCUCACAUCCAACUUGCCAUUCACCAAUACUCUCAAGUGUUUUCAGCAGGGCUAUGCUCUAUCCUUACGUUCCACAGCUUGUACUGAUAGUAGGGGUUUCUAUGACCCAGGUGAAAGACUUUGCACUUCACUUUGUUGGAACUCAUGAGGUUCUCC